Molecule: ribosomal RNA, 425 nt
Filed under: Necremnus duplicatus
Lineage: Eukaryota; Metazoa; Arthropoda; Insecta; Hymenoptera; Eulophidae
Also listed under: 1 other name
Description: eukaryotic LSU rRNA
Source: RNAcentral
GAGAAACCCAAAAGAUCGAAUGGGGAGAUUCAUCGUCAGCGGCUUUGGCUUCCGUGCGGCUUGCGAUGGCGCUGGACUUCGGUUCAGCGUCACGCUGUCGCUGCGGCAUGUCCGGAGUCGUCGGCGUGCACUUCUCCCCUAGUAGGACGUCGCGACCCGUUGGGUGUCGGACCGAUGGCCGGUCGGUCGUCUGUUGCGCUCACGCGCUUCAGACCGAUUCGGUCGAAAGUCCGGCUGCCCGGCGGUAUUGAACGAUAUGACAUGGUAUCGGGCCGCAUCGAAUGCGUUCCUGGCUCGUCGGCAGGCUCGUCUCGCUCGGAUUUACGGACCUAGUGCCGUUGCCGGGCGCUUGGCGUGGCUGUUAGUCGACGAUGUCCUCGGACUGGCUCUUACCCGUCGGCGACGCUACUGCUUUGGGUACUUUC